CUGAUGGUGCCUUGGGGUCAUUAGCAAAGGCCCACUGAGGGAAGUGACUUUUGAGAGCAUAAUUCCGAGGACAUGCUAUGAUAAAUCUAAUGAUGUUGUCUAAUGACUCUGAUGAACGAAUUAGUUAAUCUGUGAGUUGAGCAGCUGGUCUGUCACAGUGGUCCUGAGGGAAGUUCUGGGGUCAGACUAUUUGGAUUCAUAUUCUUGUUGUCCUAUGUUCUUGAUGUGUAAUCAUGGGCCAAUUAUUUCACCAUCAGCUUCUUUCUUUGUAAGACAGAGAUGACAACAAACUCUCUUCUGGGCUUCUUAGAAGGCAUGUAAGUGAGUGCAACAAUAUGGGGAAAACACACUAAAAUUGGAAACAGUAUGAAAAAGCCUUCAAAAAAAGGCAGAAUCUUCUUUGACUUAAUGAAAAAGGAUCACAAUGUGUACAAAGCAGAAGAGUCAAGCCUAUUCCGCAGCCUGCUCUGUUUGUGGACAGCUCUGUGAGACAAUCUGCUCUUAGGAGGAGAAGCUAAUGUGCUUCCUGAAAUUUAUAAUGAGACUGCCAGAGAUCUCAAGGAGGGUUAGGAAAUUUUUGCAAAAUUCCAGAGAGAGACAGAGAGAGAGAGAGAGACCUCUCCCUGUUCCCUUUAAUACUACAGUCUCCUGCAGGCCUCAGUCCUCCUCAUGGUGUGCUCACAUAAUUCUUUUCCUUGGAUCACCCCUCCUUAAUUUCCUUACAUCUGUCCCCUUCCCUCCUGCCUUCUCUAAAACAUCUAAGAGAAACACCAUUGCCAUAGCUCAUUCACCUACAAGUAGUA
Chinchilla lanigera (long-tailed chinchilla) is the source of this 803-nucleotide long non-coding RNA. RefSeq lists it as uncharacterized. NCBI's taxonomy places the organism in Eukaryota, Metazoa, Chordata, Mammalia, Rodentia, Chinchillidae. The record is from RefSeq and is a predicted model, not a curated record. The transcript has 3 exons.